GGGCCUGGCUGGCUGGGGAGCAUCCUUGCAGAAGCGGCAUCGGUCAUGUAGGAUGGAGGUCUGCUCUGAAGCUCUGGAAGCAGCUCUUACCGGUCACCCCUCAUUUGUCUGCCUCUCUCUGAGUCCUGGAAUCCUACACAGGCUACAUCAGGGUGUGUAUUGUCUGGGCCCCCAAGCAACCUGUCAUCUUUUUUGUCUGACUGACUGGAUUUAUUCUCUCCUCCUUGAAAGUUCACAAUGUCACCGAAAGACAAAGUCCUUGGCUCUUUUUUCCCUUUCCAACUAGAUUAUUGGAGUAGAGGAAGGUUUUCCUAGUUUAGCUUCCCAGAGA
RNAcentral lists this long non-coding RNA (331 nucleotides) under Homo sapiens (human). RNAcentral's name for it is "HSALNT0392962". Lineage: Eukaryota; Metazoa; Chordata; Mammalia; Primates; Hominidae. The record is from RNAcentral.